Molecule: ribosomal RNA, 95 nt
Filed under: uncultured marine bacterium
Lineage: Bacteria
Description: partial small subunit ribosomal RNA
Source: RNAcentral
AUACGCGAGAAACCUUACCAGGGCUUAAAUGUAGUCUGACAGGCGUGGAAACAUGCUUUUCUUCGGACAGAUUACAAGGUGCUGCAUGGCUGUCG